UGACAGAUGAGACCUCCAGAUGUUC
This 25-nucleotide non-coding RNA is filed under the name Mus musculus (house mouse). The record is from RNAcentral. Lineage: Eukaryota; Metazoa; Chordata; Mammalia; Rodentia; Muridae.